AGUGGCGGGGGAGCGACUAACCGGCCCAGUUGGGUACGGAGGAAGUUCUGCCCACCGAUGAAUUUGCGCGCCUGAUAAAAAGGGCGCGGGAAAUCCCCCGAAGCGCUUAAGGCGCAAUCGGAAACAGAAACGAUACCUGCCCUUUCCAAUGAGAAUGAGGGAACGAGAGGGAGGGGAUGUGGCUGAAACGGUCCGUGCGGGCAUAGAUAUGUGCGGUGCAAGGCUUUAAGCCGCUUAGUCCAAUGUCGCUUAGAAACAGAAGGCAGGCUACCACCUGCCACU
This 282-nucleotide RNase P RNA is filed under the name Microcaldota archaeon. RNAcentral describes it as "RNase P RNA component". It matches the Rfam family "Archaeal RNase P". Rfam says of the family: Ribonuclease P (RNase P) is a ubiquitous endoribonuclease, found in archaea, bacteria and eukarya as well as chloroplasts and mitochondria. Lineage: Archaea; Nanobdellati; Microcaldota. The record is from RNAcentral.